UUACCAGGUCUUGACAUCCUCUGACAACCCUAGAGAUAGGGCUUUCCCUUGGGGGACAGAGUGACAGGUGGCGCAUGGUUGUCGUCAGCUAGUGUCGUGAGAUGUUGGGUUAAGUCCCGUAACGAGCGCAACCCUUGAUCUUAGUUGCCAGCAUUUAGUUGGGCACUCUAAGGUGACUGCCGGUGACAAACCGGAGGAAGGUGGGGAUGACGUCAAAUCAUCAUGCCCCUUAUGACCUGGGCUACACACGUGCUACAAUGGACAGAACAAAGGGCUGCGAGACCGCAAGGUUUAGCCAAUCCCACAAAUCUGUUCUCAGUUCGGAUCGCAGUCUGCAACUCGACUGCGUGAAGCUGGAAUCGCUAGUAAUCGCGGAUCAGCAUGCCGCGGUGAAUACGUUCCCGGGCCUUGUACACACCGCCCGUCACACCACGAGAGUUUGCAACACCCGAAGUCGGUGAGGUAACCUUUAUGGAGCCAGCCGCCGAAGGUGGGGCAGA
This 500-nucleotide ribosomal RNA is filed under the name Bacillus sp. (in: firmicutes). RNAcentral's name for it is "bacterial SSU rRNA". It matches the Rfam family "Bacterial small subunit ribosomal RNA", at positions 971 to 1471 of the family's 1533-position model. Lineage: Bacteria; Bacillati; Bacillota; Bacilli; Caryophanales; Bacillaceae. The record is from RNAcentral.